AUAGCGUAUAUUAAAGUUGUUGAGGUUAAAAAGCUCGUAGUUGAACCUUGGGCCUAGCCGGCCGGUCCGCCUCACCGCGUGCACUGGCUCGGCUGGGCCUUUCCUUCUGGAGAACCGCAUGCCCUUCACUGGGUGUGCCGGGGAACCAGGACUUUCACUCUGAAUAAAUUAGAUCGCUUAAAGAAGGCCUAUGCUCGAAUACAUUAGCAUGGAAUAAUAGAAUAGGACGUGUGGUUCUAUUUUGUUGGUUUCUAGGACCAAAGUAAUGAUUAAUAGGAUCAGUUGGGGGCAUUCGUAUUUAAUUGUCAGAGGUGAAAUUCUUGGAUUUAUUAAAGACGAACUUCUG
RNAcentral lists this ribosomal RNA (346 nucleotides) under uncultured eukaryote. RNAcentral describes it as "SSU rRNA". It matches the Rfam family "Eukaryotic small subunit ribosomal RNA", at positions 594 to 945 of the family's 1831-position model. The record is from RNAcentral.